Molecule: ribosomal RNA, 592 nt
Filed under: uncultured bacterium
Lineage: Bacteria
Description: partial 16S ribosomal RNA
Rfam family: Bacterial small subunit ribosomal RNA
Source: RNAcentral
UGGGGAAUAUUGCACAAUGGGCGCAAGCCUGAUGCAGCCAUGCCGCGUGUGUGAAGAAGGCCUUCGGGUUGUAAAGCACUUUCAGCGAGGAGGAAGGUGGUGGACUUAAUACGUUCAUCAAUUGACGUUACUCGCAGAAGAAGCACCGGCUAACUCCGUGCCAGCAGCCGCGGUAAUACGGAGGGUGCAAGCGUUAAUCGGAAUUACUGGGCGUAAAGCGCACGCAGGCGGUUUGUUAAGUCAGAUGUGAAAUCCCCGGGCUCAACCUGGGAACUGCAUUUGAAACUGGCAAGCUAGAGUCUCGUAGAGGGGGGUAGAAUUCCAGGUGUAGCGGUGAAAUGCGUAGAGAUCUGGAGGAAUACCGGUGGCGAAGGCGGCCCCCUGGACGAAGACUGACGCUCAGGUGCGAAAGCGUGGGGAGCAAACAGGAUUAGAUACCCCUGGUAGGUCCAGCGCUGUAAAACCGAUGUCGAUUUUGGAGGUUGUGCCCUUGAGGCGUGGCUUCCGGAGCUAACGCGUUAAAUCGACCGCCUGGGGAGUACGGCCGCAAGGUUAAAACUCAAAGGAAUUGACGGGGUCAUAGCUGUUUCCU